This 17-nucleotide small RNA is filed under the name Aspergillus fumigatus Af293. RNAcentral's name for it is "putative Afu-465 ncRNA". Lineage: Eukaryota; Fungi; Ascomycota; Eurotiomycetes; Eurotiales; Aspergillaceae. The record is from RNAcentral.
UGUUCUGUUUGUGAGUG